Acipenser ruthenus (sterlet) is the source of this 1174-nucleotide long non-coding RNA. RefSeq lists it as uncharacterized. NCBI's taxonomy places the organism in Eukaryota, Metazoa, Chordata, Actinopteri, Acipenseriformes, Acipenseridae. The transcript has 3 exons. The record is from RefSeq and is a predicted model, not a curated record.
UUGCGCGCCAGGGCUGUGAUUGGACACCCCUGCAGUAGACACUGAAACAACUGGCUGAAAGUCACCGGACUGAACAAAUUUAGUGGCUUAAAAAAAACUCAGGUUUAACCGCUAAAUGUUCUUGCUAUAGCCAGCUAGAACAGGAGCAUACGUCACCCCUGCUAUGGCUGUGAACUCAAAAUACAGACGAGAUCUUCAACUAAAAGUCGUUGAAAAAGUUCAAGGAAACCAGAAUGACGCAGUACCCACAGUUCCAGCUGUGGCGCUUAUAUCCAGAGCUUGACGAAUUCUUCCAAUCCCUUUGGCGAAACAUCUUCCCGGACAGAGAGGUGGGAAAGGGAGAGGAGCUGGGGACCCCGUUUUCGGAGAUAUCCGAAGGGAAGGAACAUUCCCUGUCCCUGUACCGUAACUUCUUUAACCCUGUCACCUGCCAGCUCCCACCUUCCACAGACAGCGCCCCCGCUGGCCAGCAAAGAGAUUACAACCUGGAGCUCAGCUGCUUUGACUCCUGGGUUUGUAACCUGAAGGACCAGGGCAUGGCUAGACGAUGUCUGUUGCAUGAGACCGCCCCCAUGUCCUACAGAAUGCCUACUUCAGCCUAUGUCUCCCGCACUUCUAAUUAUCCUGUUUCCCUGGAAAAUGCUUCAGAGGUCUCUGUGGAUGAGCUAUUUUAUAAAAUGUACAGUUUUGAUACUUCGCACAUGUGUAUAUAAAUGAAAUUCUUGUUUAGUUCAAAGGCUGUUCUUUUGGUUCCUUGUACACCUUGAAAGGAGUUCUUUCAACAUCGUACUCGUCAUUCUUUUCCAUCAACUAUGUAUAACAAACAUGUAUUUCGUUUUUAGAAUAUGAUACCUGGUAUUGUUAAUAUGUUGCGUGUCUCUUAUUGUAUAGAAGAGAUGUCAUCGUGUGCAGUUUGGGCAAGUGGACUGGCAAGCAAAACUGAACCAUUCCAACCAUCUCAACCAAAUUUAGUUUAUUAACUUUGUGCCCACAGGGCCAGAACAUUGAAUAACUUUGUCAUAUUCGAUAUUACUGCUAAUAAAAAGAUUACCACAGUCAUUUUGCAGUGUUUCCCCAUGCUGAAACGUGUUUAUGAUCUGGUGUGAGACUUACCUGGAACAUCUGACUUGCAGCGUACUGGUUAUCAAAAGCUACAUAGCGAAGGGAAAUACAU